GUGUUUGCUUAGGCAGCACAUAUGCUAAAAUUGGAACAAUACAAAGAAGAUAAGCAUGGAUCCUGCGCAAGGAUGACAUGCAAAUUCAUGAAGCAUUCCGUAUUUUU
Ochotona curzoniae (black-lipped pika) is the source of this 107-nucleotide small nuclear RNA. Lineage: Eukaryota; Metazoa; Chordata; Mammalia; Lagomorpha; Ochotonidae. The record is from RefSeq and is a predicted model, not a curated record.